Molecule: microRNA, 22 nt
Filed under: Cavia porcellus (domestic guinea pig)
Lineage: Eukaryota; Metazoa; Chordata; Mammalia; Rodentia; Caviidae
Also listed under: 1 other name
Description: cpo-miR-493-5p
Gene: cpo-miR-493-5p
Source: miRBase by way of RNAcentral
UUGUACAUAGUAGGCUUUCAUU